This is a long non-coding RNA of Delphinapterus leucas (beluga whale), 675 nucleotides long. RefSeq lists it as uncharacterized. NCBI's taxonomy places the organism in Eukaryota, Metazoa, Chordata, Mammalia, Artiodactyla, Monodontidae. The record is from RefSeq and is a predicted model, not a curated record.
CAGCCACCCCCUGCCUCUGCAGGAUACCCUCCAACAGUAGCAGGCAAACAGGUGAAAAUUUCAUUGCAGAUUUUUAUCAACCCACCACAGAUCAGAUGUGGGAGCUCCUGGACUAGAUUUCAAACAUGGACAGGAUCUGCAUAGUCCCCAUCAUCAUGGCAAUGUUUUGUAGGCGAUUCAGGAAACUCUCCUGGCACUGAUUCAGAGAGGGCACAUUCAGUGCCUUUUUUGUAAUGGACGUGGCCAGAGGGGUUGAGAUGUAAUCAGUGAAGAUGGUGUUUAUAAGGCACAGGGGAACAGCGCUGUUUUGUAAAGAUGGACCCUGGGCUUGGCUUGAGCAGAUCAGAUGGUCUGACCCUGAUUUACUCGAAAGAAAUUCUUGAAGCAUAAGGCAAGAAAGAUGGUAUUCAGGGUGCUUGAAAAGAAUGGCGACUAAUCCAUGGCCCUAUAAACUGUGGAGUUGUGGGAAAUGUUACAGGAAAAUUCAUCAAGAAGCCAUAUGGGCCUGAAUUUAUCUUUUGAUUUUUGGUCUGCUUCUUAAAUCAGUUACUAAAAGAAGCAUAUUUAGGACUUCUUUGGUGGCACAGUGGUUAAGAAUCCACCUGACAAUGCAGGGGACACAGGUUCGAGCCCUGGUCCGGGAAGAUCCCACAUGUUGCAGAGCAAUGAAGCCUG